Vulpes vulpes (red fox) is the source of this 2563-nucleotide long non-coding RNA. The record is from Ensembl. Lineage: Eukaryota; Metazoa; Chordata; Mammalia; Carnivora; Canidae.
AAACUAUUCAUUUAAUUCACUUAAUAUUAGCUUGCACUUUGGGGGCACCUGGGUGGCUCAGUCACUUGAGCACCCUACUCUUGAUUUUGGCUCAGGUCAUGAUCUUGGGGCAUGAGAUCAAACCCUGCAUUGUGCUCCAUGCUGGGAGCAUGUAUUCUCUCUCCCUCUCCCUAUGCCCCUCCCCCCACUACAUACAUGCUCUCUCUCUUCCUCUCUCUAAAAAAACAAACAAAAUUAGCUUGCACUUUCCUCAAGCUUCUUUCACAAACUCACCUUGUUCCAGCUGUCAGUUAUAAAGGCUUUUCAUCCUCAUCUGGCCAUCGAUAACUCACAGGACCUCUCCUCAUUUGAUAUACCAGAAAAGUCUAAAUGCUUUAUCUCCCACCACAAACAAUAGGAUAUUCAAGGCCUUCUUUGGAUUCUGUGUCCUAAGGUGAAGCACCAGCAAACCCUCUAAUGUCAAGCUUCCUAUGGUGAAGGAGAGUGAAAGGUACUUGGGAUGAUGACUGGUUGUAGUCAGUGCAGAGAUGUCACAGAUUGGCAGUGAUUGAGAGAAAGAUACCAACAGACUCAGUGAAAUUCCCUUCAGAAUAAGCAAAAGAUAAGAAAUCGUAACUGCAUGAGACAUCCCUUCAAAUCUCAAAGGCUCAGCAAUUGCCCUUUUGGAGGGGCAGUGCCCUGGAACUUUGAUGCCCAUGGCGUUACGCUGCUGACUGAUCAGUGAAGGGAUCCUCUCUAGGCCUUAGAGAAGCUCUUCUAACCAUUCCCUCAGGGCUUUUGUGCUCUUCUGCCCUGCAGAAAUUCGAGGAUAGUGGCAUAUCGUGCAUAUUGGCCUUCCCAAGAGGCAUAAAUAACUGGUAACAAUCCUAGUAUAUGCCUGAGUGCUUUUUGCUGAAAGUUGGAUUUAUGGGAAAAUUCUCAAUAUUAAUUUCCUAGGAACACCAUUUCCUAAGCAGGCCAGAAGUCUCUGCCUAUAAGACAGGUGACAAAAAAAACAGCAAUAUCCCAGAGAGGAAGACUUGCAGUGUGACAAUUCAUGCUAAGUUUUUCAGUUUUGCCCUAGCUUCAUCAUGUUCUUUACUUUUUUUUACUUAAAACCUUUGCAAUCUAUUCUAUAACUUUUAUCACUUUGUCUUUACGAAAAAUAUCUCACCAAAAAAUGUACAAAACAUAUACAUACCAGUUAAGGAAUGAUUAUGAAGUGAAUACAUACAUACCCACUACUCUGCUUAAGAAAUUAUUCAUUUAAAAAAAAAAGUUAUUCAUUUUACCAUCUCUUCUUCACUCACCAAAACUGAGUACUGCUCUGAAUUUGGUUAUUUUCUUUUGGUUUUCUUUGUAUAAUUUAGUUUUGCCUGCUUCUGACCUUUAAAAAUAGAAUUAUGAUAUAUGUAUUGUUGUGGUUUGCCUCUCUUCAUCCAUAGGAGGUUAUCAUCAAUCAGAGCCCUGGUUUUAGCACUCAGCUGUGAUAUGUCUUAGAACUGAUAGCUUAGGCUGCUGCUUGCUUUAGUAAGGGAUUCUAUACACUAUGGCCUAAGAUGGAAGUUUUCAGAUUUGGUCCCUAACCAACACUUCCCUCAGGUUAGGGGUUUAGAGACCAAAUGUACCUUCUGACACGACCUGCACUGGAGUGUAGAACUGAAAUGAUGACGUAGAUAAUUCAGCAGUAAAUUUCAACAGUUUAGAAGAAUUAACUAUUUUUCUUCUGAUAUUGUAGCAGAAUCAGUAAAUCCAGAGACAGCAGAUUGGUAGUUGCCUGAGAUUGUAAAGAAGGGAAGAGUGGAAAGUUGUUGCUUAAUGUGUAGGAGGUUUUCUUUUGAGCUGUUGAAAAUGCUUUGGCUCUAGAGAAAGGUAGUGGAUGGGCAGCCCCAGUGGCCCGGCAGUUUAGCGCGCCUUCAGCCCGGGGUGUCCUCCCGGAGACCGGGGAUCAGGUCCUACCUCGGGUCCCACGUCAGGCUCCCUGCAUGGAGCCUGCUUCUCUCUCUCUCUGUCAUGAAUAAGUGGAUGAAAUAUUAAACACACACACACACGCAUAGUGGUUACACAACAUUGUGAAUGUACUAAACGACACUGAAUUGUAUACUUUAUUUUUUAAGUUUUUAUUUAAAUUCCAGUUAACAUAUAGUGUAAUAUUAGUUUUCAGUUGUACAAUUUAGUAAUUCAACACUUCCAUACCAACCUGCUGCUCGUCACAAGUGCCCUCCUGAAUUCCCAUCAGGCAUUUAAUCCAUCCGCCACCCACUUCCCCUCUGGUAACCAUCAGUUUGUUCUCUAUAGUUAAAAGCCUAUCUCUUGGUUUGCCUUUCUCUCUUUUUAUCCCUGUGCUAAUUUAUUUUGCUUUUUAAAUUCCACAUAUAUGAGUAAAAUUAUAUGGUAUUUGUCCUUCUCUGAGUGACUUAUUUCACUUAGCGUAAUAUAUUCUAGCUUUAUCCACGUUAUUGCAAAUGGCAAGAUUUCAUUCAUUUUUAUAGCUGCCUAAUAUUCCAGUGUGUGCUAUUUGCUUCGACGUGGAGGGUUCUGGAGGGUAUUGUGCUGAGUGAAAUAAAUCCAUCAGAAAAGGACA